AAAAAAAAAAAAAAAUCAUACUUGUAUGGUUAAAACAUCUAUCCUUUACCGAGCGGAACAUUAAGUGGUAAUAAGUGGUAACCAUAAUCGAACAUGGCAGCCACUUCUAGUUGACAUCCCCAAACAGCAUUUGUCAUAAUUAAUUAUACGCUAAUAUAAACAUAUAAAUAAUCACCCCCUUCAAAUCAUUUUCUUCCAUCAUCCAAAAGAAAAUUGUUGGAGCCACUCCACAAGAAGAAAGAUGGCGAUCACAACCUCAACCCGAGCCAUAGUUUUCGCUAUUACCAUUCUCUUGGUCGCCAUCCAAACCGUUCACGCAGACUAUUACCGGCCGCGACUACCUACACUUAUGAGCCCUCCUCCAUACGGCGCGGAGCCCAAGCCGCUCCCAACUCCUAGCCCCAAACCUAUCCUCUACCAUCCUCCUCCCACCUCCCACUACCAGCCACCCACGGGCUCGUUUGAAGAUCAGUUCCUUGCUCCGCAUAAUUCUGUUCGGACCAGCUUAGGUCUGUCUCCACUAGUUUGGGACGGCAGGAUCGCGAGCUACGCAACUUGGUGGGCUAACCAGAGGCGGUAUGACUGCUCCCUAACCCACUCAACUGGUCCAUACGGUGAGAACUUGUUUUGGGGAAGUGGCUCAGACUGGACACCAACUUUCGCAGUGGAGUCAUGGACCGUGGAGGCCAAGUCCUACAACCACAUGACCAACUCGUGUGAAGGCGGUAUGUGCGGUCACUACACUCAGAUCGUAUGGCGUGACACGAAACGGAUAGGUUGCGCUCGCGUUGUCUGCGAGAACGGUGCAGGAGUUUUCAUCACUUGCAACUACGACCCACCGGGUAACUACGUUGGAGAGAAUCCUUACUAACUUUGUCUAACACUUGGUUUUGUAAUUAAGUCGUUGGUGAAUUCUUAAUCUAUGUGUUUUAAUCUUCGUGGCUUUUAUAUUUCCUUGUGACUUGUGAGCUAAGUAUUGCAUGGGUUUUAUGUUGGUGGUGUUACGAGCAGUUUGUUGUUUGUAUUGUACUUUUCAUUUUUGUAAUGGCUAUGUCAACAAAUGAAAAAAAAAAAAUUAACAGUGCACAGAGACACAGGGACAUUCCAUAGUUCCAUACUUCCAUUAAAUUUCCUAGAUCAUCUUUAUAUAUAAAAGACACUUUUAAUCCCUCCUGAGUGUGCCAACAAGGAUGCCAGCGCAACAAUUCAUGAUCUACUGUUUAGACACGUCAGCAACUCAUCGUUUCAUUAAAACGUGUAAUGACAAUACGUAUCUACGUGGGCCUGACGCAACCGAACUUAUAUACAUGCAACUGCAAUUAUCAGUUCGAGUUACCUGGUCUGGAUUUGGAUAUACUGUAUCAAUUGUUACGGGCUUGACAUUUGGGCUUCGUUAUGUUUUCUUACGCGGCCCGACGACCUUAGUCUCCUGAUGGAACCCUAAUCAGACUCUACGCUCACCUUCGUGAUCUCCGCUCCCCUACGUUCGGCGCAUACGCGAUUCAUCAUAUGUAACGGUUCUUCAGUAAUUAAUGGUCUUAAAUCGACUUUGAUCGCCAUCCCACUGCGAAGCUCUCUCCUGCCCCGCCCCUAUGCUAUAUAAGGAUCUUACCGGUUUUCUUUUCCGAUCUCAAGACUGGGCGGUGCUCAUCCGUCGUGGAGGCUAGGCUGCUUCGGUUCUGGGAGGCUAGGAACGUUAAGCGUGGUGGAGAGCUAAUGUGGAUGGAUCUGCUCAUGGUUGAUGUCAACUCGACUGUGAUGCAAGUCACGAUCAGUGCUGGUCGUCUCCCACAGUUCCGGGAAAUACUCCGUGCCGGAACAAUGUUUUCCGUGUCCGGUUUUGAUGUCUCCAGAUGCGCGCAGAAUUUCCGGCUCACUGAUUCAUCUUUGAUGAUCCGGUUCAACGAGUCAACUUCGUUCCAGGAGUUGACCGAACCUGACUCUCCCUUGCCAGAUGAAGCAUUCCGGUUCCGCAACCAUUCGGAGC
This is an RNA transcript of Brassica napus (rape), 1987 nucleotides long. RefSeq lists it as uncharacterized. The transcript has 4 exons. NCBI's taxonomy places the organism in Eukaryota, Viridiplantae, Streptophyta, Magnoliopsida, Brassicales, Brassicaceae. The record is from RefSeq and is a predicted model, not a curated record.